RNAcentral lists this small nucleolar RNA (141 nucleotides) under Leptobrachium leishanense (Leishan spiny toad). The record is from RNAcentral. Lineage: Eukaryota; Metazoa; Chordata; Amphibia; Anura; Megophryidae.
UCAGGCCCUGAUCGAAGCCGUGUUAGUGGCUGAUGUAACUAACUCGGUCAAACAGCGGCCAAGAGCAUUCUGUUCCCACUGACGGUCGCUGCUUGUGUCUCUCUGUGCGCGGGAUCAGCAACAUUAUGGGGGAGUACAGCU